CACGUAGGGCGCAAGCGUUGUCCGGAAUUACUGGGCGUAAAGGGCGCGUAGGCGGCGUGUCAAGUCAGGCGUGAAAGCCCCGGGCUCAACCUGGGAACCGCGCUUGAGACUGGCAUGCUCGAGUUCGGGAGAGGAUGGUGGAAUUCCCAGUGUAGAGGUGAAAUUCGUAGAUAUUGGGAAGAACACCGAUGGCGAAGGCAGCCAUCUGGACCGACACUGACGCUGAGGCGCGAAAGCGUGGGGAGCAAACAGGG
Molecule: ribosomal RNA, 254 nt
Filed under: uncultured bacterium
Lineage: Bacteria
Description: partial 16S ribosomal RNA
Rfam family: Bacterial small subunit ribosomal RNA
Source: RNAcentral